AUUGAACGCUGGCGGCAGGCCUAACACAUGCAAGUCGAACGGUAACAGGAAGAAGCUUGCUUCUUUGCUGACGAGUGGCGGACGGGUGAGUAAUGUCUGGGAAACUGCCUGAUGGAGGGGGAUAACUACUGGAAACGGUAGCUAAUACCGCAUAACGUCGCAAGACCAAAGAGGGGGACCUUCGGGCCUCUUGCCAUCGGAUGUGCCCAGAUGGGAUUAGCUAGUAGGUGGGGUAACGGCUCACCUAGGCGACGAUCCCUAGCUGGUCUGAGAGGAUGACCAGCCACACUGGAACUGAGACACGGUCCAGACUCAUACGGGAGGCAGCAGUGGGGAAUAUUGCACAAUGGGCGCAAGCCUGAUGCAGCCAUGCCGCGUGUAUGAAGAAGGCCUUCGGGUUGUAAAGUACUUUCAGCGGGGAGGAAGGGAGUAAAGUUAAUACCUUUGCUCAUUGACGUUACCCGCAGAAGAAGCACCGGCUAACUCCGUG
RNAcentral lists this ribosomal RNA (490 nucleotides) under uncultured bacterium. RNAcentral's name for it is "partial 16S ribosomal RNA". It matches the Rfam family "Bacterial small subunit ribosomal RNA", at positions 30 to 507 of the family's 1533-position model. The record is from RNAcentral.